Molecule: long non-coding RNA, 1596 nt
Organism: Oreochromis niloticus (Nile tilapia)
Lineage: Eukaryota; Metazoa; Chordata; Actinopteri; Cichliformes; Cichlidae
Exons: 6
Source: RefSeq, a predicted model, not a curated record
AGAGUCAGGAGGGUCUUGGAAGAAGUUCAGAAAAGAUCCAAAUAGGCAGUCUGAACAGUCUUACUUGUUUGCAGGUGGAGUAAUGCACGAAUGGAUAAAAAAGAGUGAGCUGUUGAGGAGCAAAUGGAGAUCCGUGUCCAGGGGAGUGAUGCUAUUGCGAGUGUGAAAGGUUGUCCAGGAAGUAACUAAGAAGACAUGAACAGAGAGGUGGUGAUCCUCAGAGGACCGAUGAAGUAGAGCAGCCAGCACCCCAAGUAGAGCAGGCACUGUGGAAAAAUAGUUGUGACUCAACUAGACCAUUACAAAGUAUGGCCUGGAGGAUUUUCAUCUCAAGGUGCAAGAACAUUCUUAAUGACUGUACACGGCAGCUGCUGAUGGACGAUGUUGGGCCAGAUGUGCUACAGUUAGCGUUAAGGAGGUUGGAGACAAUGCAGAGAAGCCUUCAGUGGGCAAGAGGAAGACUGAUCAAUGUAACUGCAGCAGAUCAACUUCUGCGUGACUUGGCUGAAUUGAUUCAGGAUGUCGAACUGUCUACUCAGCAUGGGCAACAAGGCUGUUUUGGAUACCAGGCACCAGUGGUUUUCAGCAGAGGUAGAGGUAGAUCCCUUUACCUUAUCACUCGGGAACAGCUUUCAUUCCUGAAGUCAUGUGGAUUCACUGCACCUCAGAUGGCUGAUAUUUUGAGUGUUUCACUUCGUACAAUUUGAAGACGUCUGCGACAGUAUCAUUUCACCCGUGCAUCAAUGUAUGCGGAACUGACUGACAGUGCCUUGGAUGAACAUGUGCAGGACAUUGUCGCUGGCAAUGAACAAACUGGUCCUGAGGCUGUCAGAGCCUCCCUGCGAGUACGUGGACUACGUGUACAGCGAAGGAGGGUUUGAGCAAGCAUGUUACGGAUGAAUCCUGGAGCAGCUGCCCUUAGAGCAGUUUUGCGGAGACCAGAACGAAGAACAUAUCAGGUUGCAGGUCCAAACUCAUUGUGGCACAUUGCUGGAAAUCACAAGCUGAUAAGGUGGAGGAUAGUCAUUGAUGGGGCUAUUGAUGGAUACAGUCGUCUUGUGGUCUUCCUUCAUGCCUCAAACAACAACCGUAGCAGUACCGUUUUAUCAAGUUUCAUCAGAGCCGUGUAUCCUAUGGUGUACCCUCGAGGGUCCGGACAGACAGAGGAGGGGAAAACAACGCUGUCUGCCUGAUGAUGAACAUUUUCAGAGGCUUUGAUCGUGGAAGUGCCCUAAGAGGAAGGAGUACCCAUAAUCAGAGAACUGAGAGGCUCUGAGGUGAUCUGUGGCGAGGAAUGACCAAUGUCUACUGUGACUUAUUUCACCACCUGGAGGAGGAAGGCAUCAUUGACAUUGACAAUGAAAUGCACCUUUGGGCUCUCCAUUACAUCUAUCUCCCAAGGAUCAACAGAGAUUUGAAAGACUUCACUCAACAGUGGAACAAUCAUGGCUUGCGGACAGAGAGACACUUGAGCCCAUUACAGAUUUUUGUCCGAGGCAGCCUCCUGGUAGAACUAUGUAAUCCACUAAGUGGCACCAGAGGGAGUCAUGGUAUUGAACUCAUCACUGGCUUAAUAUACUUUCUGGACUCCACAUA